AUACUUACCUGGCAGGGGAGAUACCAUGAUCAAGAAGGUUGUUCUCCCAGGGUGAGGCUCAACCAGUGCACUUGGGUUGUGCUGACCUCUGCAAAUUCCCCAAAUGUGGGAAUCUCGACUGCACAAUUUCUGGUAGUGGGUGACUGCGUCCGCGCUCUCCCCUG
Syngnathoides biaculeatus (alligator pipefish) is the source of this 164-nucleotide small nuclear RNA. RefSeq annotates it as U1 spliceosomal RNA. The record is from RefSeq and is a predicted model, not a curated record. Lineage: Eukaryota; Metazoa; Chordata; Actinopteri; Syngnathiformes; Syngnathidae. The transcript has a single exon.